UAGAUAUGAUUUGCCGCAAAAGCCGUCGUUUGUAUGCAUCUAGUCAAUAAGUUAUCAUGUUAGCAACAUAUAAGUUCCAACAAAUAUGAUGCACAACGCAAAAGUAGUUGAGCACCCCUGUCAGAAAUCUCUACACAUUCCAUCCAUCGACCACAUCUCUGCUACUACCGUUGCACGAGCAAAGAGCGUCCAUCCUAAUCGAGCAAGCAAACUCACACCGAAGCACAAAUCCAAUACCAUACGGCGAGGGAGAGUGGGAUUACGCUCGCAGUCGGCAAAUGACCUCUCUCAGCAUACCGGCGCAAUACUCACACAAGCGAAAGCUGUGUGUUGACGAUUGGUGAGAGAACAGAACAGUGGUAGUUCGAGUCAGUCCGGCUUGAUGUGCGGAUCAGUUUCCGAAAAGUGAAAGUUGUUUUCGUGAAUUGCGGUGGCGGAUUUCAAGUGCACAUCUCGGUGCAGGUGCAGAAAAUAGUUGGAAGUGGCAGAUAUCACGCCGAUCAGGAUCCACAUCCCACGCAGGCCAAAAGAUCAUUGGCGAUAAAGUGCGAUCAGUGCAGGUAAAUUUAACAAAGUAAGUUUGCCAAACACGUGCUAAAACAAUGGCGUUCCACUAGGGUGUUAACGGACAAUCCGCUAGAACCGAGCGCGGCAUAAUCCCGUUCCGCUCCAUUGGCAUACGGUGGACACGAAACGCCACGAGGAAAGUGAAUCACAGCGGCCGACAGGAAGCGCAAAACGGAUCUCCCAGGCAGUUGACGUUGAUUAGCGAGGAAGCUUUAGCGAACCGGCCUGUGGAAGACCGACGCCGAGAGAGACCGACCAACAGCUCGAAGGAGAAGAGACAUCGGAAGGCCCCUUUAAGGGGCUUUUGUGUUCCAUUUCUGGAACCACUUUUGCCAUUGUUGGGCAGUCGCUCAGGCCGUCCGAGUACUGGGUCAUCUUUCUUCGGAUCCGAGGUGAGGAGAACUCCAUCAAGGCAAGACCGUGGGAUAUUGUGCGCUCAGUUAACGACGGUGGUUGGAUACGGCCCGAAACGCUUCAAGACGAACUCGGCCAGCGGCCGAAGGCAGCGCAGUCCCAAGAGACGGUCACCGUGAAUCCCAUUCAUGCUGGGCCGCCCCCCGCCGGUUGAGGGCAAGUUCUUCAGCAUCCAUCAGUCAAGGAAGGAUGAGCUGGCAGGAUGGUGCAUCAGUCGGGAGCGCGCGGUCGGUGUUAGUGCAGAGAAGCGGUGCCGUGAGUACCAGCGCCUAGAUUAAGCCAAGUUACGAUGAUUGGGACGGAGGUAUUAUGUUAAUCUAGAUAUAAGACAAGC
Aedes aegypti (yellow fever mosquito) is the source of this 1315-nucleotide long non-coding RNA. RefSeq lists it as uncharacterized. NCBI's taxonomy places the organism in Eukaryota, Metazoa, Arthropoda, Insecta, Diptera, Culicidae. The transcript is spliced from 3 exons. The record is from RefSeq and is a predicted model, not a curated record.